CUCCUUUGACGUUAGCGGCGGACGGGUGAGUAACACGUGGGUAACCUACCUAUAAGACUGGGACAACUUCGGGAAACCGGAGCUAAUACCGGAUAAUAUGUUGAACCGCAUGGUUCAAUAGUGAAAGAUGGUUUUGCUAUCACUUAUAGAUGGACCCGCGCCGUAUUAGCUAGUUGGUGAGGUAACGGCUCACCAAGGCAACGAUACGUAGCCGACCUGAGAGGGUGAUCGGCCACACUGGAACUGAGACACGGUCCAGACUCCUACGGGAGGCAGCAGUAGGGAAUCUUCCGCAAUGGGCGAAAGCCUGACGGAGCAACGCCGCGUGAGUGAUGAAGGUCUUAGGAUCGUAAAACUCUGUUAUUAGGGAAGAACAAACGUGUAAGUAACAGUGCACGUCUUGACGGUACCUAAUCAGAAAGCCACGGCUAACUACGUGCCAGCAGCCGCGGUAAUACGUAGGUGGCAAGCGUUAUCCGGAAUUAUUGGGCGUAAAGCGCGCGUAGGCGGUUUUUUAAGUCUGAUGUGAAAGCCCCCGGCUCAACCGUGGAGGGUCAUUGGAAACUGGAAAACUUGAGUGCAGAAGAGGAAAGUGGAAUUCCAUGUGUAGCGGUGAAAUGCGCAGAGAUAUGGAGGAACACCAGUGGCGAAGGCGACUUUCUGGUCUGUAACUGACGCUGAUGUGCGAAAGCGUGGGGAUCAAACAGGAUUAGAUACCCUGGUAGUCCACGCCGUAAACGAUGAGUGCUAAGUGUUAGGGGGUUUCCGCCCCUUAGUGCUGCAGCUAACGCAUUAAGCACUCCGCCUGGGGAGU
This 814-nucleotide ribosomal RNA is filed under the name uncultured Staphylococcus sp. Its description in RNAcentral is "bacterial SSU rRNA". It matches the Rfam family "Bacterial small subunit ribosomal RNA", at positions 81 to 881 of the family's 1533-position model. Lineage: Bacteria; Bacillati; Bacillota; Bacilli; Caryophanales; Staphylococcaceae. The record is from RNAcentral.